UACGUAGGGUGCGAGCGUUAAUCGGAAUUACUGGGCGUAAAGCGUGCGCAGGCGGUUCGUUAAGUCAGCUGUGAAAGCCCCGGGCUCAACCUGGGAAUGGCGGUUGAAACUGGCGAACUUGAAUCUGGCAGAGGGGGGUGGAAUUCCACGUGUAGCAGUGAAAUGCGUAGAGAUGUGGAGGAACACCGAUGGCGAAGGCAGCCCCCUGGGCUGAGAUUGACGCUCAGGCACGAAAGCGUGGGGAGCAAACAGG
Molecule: ribosomal RNA, 253 nt
Filed under: Betaproteobacteria bacterium
Lineage: Bacteria; Pseudomonadati; Pseudomonadota; Betaproteobacteria
Also listed under: 1 other name
Description: partial 16S ribosomal RNA
Rfam family: Bacterial small subunit ribosomal RNA
Source: RNAcentral